GUCGAACGAUGAACCCACUUCGGUGGGGGAUUAGUGGCGAACGGGUGAGUAACACGUGGGCAAUCUGCCCUGCACUCUGGGACAAGCCCUGGAAACGGGGUCUAAUACCGGAUACGACCACUUCAGGCAUCUGAUGGUGGUGGAAAGCUCCGGCGGUGCAGGAUGAGCCCGCGGCCUAUCAGCUUGUUGGUGAGGUAACGGCUCACCAAGGCGACGACGGGUAGCCGGCCUGAGAGGGCGACCGGCCACACUGGGACUGAGACACGGCCCAGACUCCUACGGGAGGCAGCAGUGGGGAAUAUUGCACAAUGGGCGAAAGCCUGAUGCAGCGACGCCGCGUGAGGGAUGACGGCCUUCGGGUUGUAAACCUCUUUCAGCAGGGAAGAAGCGAAAGUGACGGUACCUGCAGAAGAAGCGCCGGCUAACUACGUGCCAGCAGCCGCGGUAAUACGUAGGGCGCAAGCGUUGUCCGGAAUUAUUGGGCGUAAAGAGCUCGUAGGCGGCUUGUCGCGUCGGAUGUGAAAGCCCGGAGCUUAACUCCGGGUCUGCAUUCGAUACGGGCAGGCUAGAGUUCGGUAGGGGAGAUCGGAAUUCCUGGUGUAGCGGUGAAAUGCGCAGAUAUCAGGAGGAACACCGGUGGCGAAGGCGGAUCUCUGGGCCGAUACUGACGCUGAGGAGCGAAAGCGUGGGGAGCGAACAGGAUUAGAUACCCUGGUAGUCCACGCCGUAAACGUUGGGAACUAGGUGUGGGCGACAUUCCACGUCGUCCGUGCCGCAGCUAACGCAUUAAGUUCCCCGCCUGGGGAGUACGGCCGCAGGGCUAAAACUCAUAGGAAUUGACGGGGGCCCGCACAAGCGGCGGAGCAUGUGGCUUAAUUCGACGCAACGCGAAGAACCUUACCAAGGCUUGACAUACACCGGAAACACCCAGAGAUGGGUGCCCCCUUGU
RNAcentral lists this ribosomal RNA (949 nucleotides) under Streptomyces thermolilacinus. Its description in RNAcentral is "bacterial SSU rRNA". It matches the Rfam family "Bacterial small subunit ribosomal RNA", at positions 61 to 1021 of the family's 1533-position model. Lineage: Bacteria; Bacillati; Actinomycetota; Actinomycetes; Kitasatosporales; Streptomycetaceae. The record is from RNAcentral.